This 628-nucleotide ribosomal RNA is filed under the name marine sediment metagenome. RNAcentral's name for it is "SSU rRNA". It matches the Rfam family "Bacterial small subunit ribosomal RNA", at positions 874 to 1501 of the family's 1533-position model. The record is from RNAcentral.
UGGGGAGUACGGCCGCAAGGCUAAAACUCAAGAGAAUUGACGGGGGCCCGCACAAGCGGUGGAGCACGUGGUUUAAUUCGAUGAUAAACGAAUAACCUCACCUGGGUUUGACAUGCUAGUAGUAGGAACCAGAAACGGGGACGACUUUCCCUUUCGAGGGAAGGAGCUAGCACAGGUGAUGCAUGGCUGUCGUCAGCUCGUGUCGUGGGACGUAGGGUUAAGUCCCGAAACGAGCGCAACCCCUGUCGUCAGUUGCCAGCGGGUAAUGCCGGGGACUCUGACGAGACUGCUGGUGAAUAGCCGGAGGAAGGAGGGGACGACGUCAAGUCAUCAUGUCCCUUAUGCCCAGGGCUACACACAUGCUACAAUGGGAGGUACAAUGGGUUGCGAAGCCGUAAGGUGGAGCCAAUCUCAAAAAGCCUUCCUCAGUUCGGAUUGAGGUCUGUAACUCGACCUCAUGAAGCUGGAAUCGCUAGUAAUCGCAGGUCAGCUAUACUGCGGUGAAUAUGUACUCGGGCCUUGUACACACCGCCCGUCACACCAAUCGAGUGGGGGGUACCUGAAGUCGUUCUUCUGAGAGCGCCUAGGGUAACUUUCGUAAGAGGGGUGAAGUCGUAACAAGGUAGCC